Long non-coding RNA from Triticum dicoccoides, 5592 nucleotides. RefSeq lists it as uncharacterized. The transcript has 5 exons. The record is from RefSeq and is a predicted model, not a curated record. NCBI's taxonomy places the organism in Eukaryota, Viridiplantae, Streptophyta, Magnoliopsida, Poales, Poaceae.
GCCUCCGCCGCCACAUGCUGGCACUCUCGCUGGCUCGCCGCCUGCCGUGCCGUCCCUCUCCUACAGGCCCGCCGCCUCCUCCUCCUCCUCCCGCGCCCAUGGCGCUGCCCGGCCAGCGUGGUCACCGCCGGCGCUCGCCGUCAUGCCGUGCGCUUGCUAGGGUUCCGCCGGCGCCGCCAAAGCCACCUCCACCAUACCUUCUCCUCCAGUCUAUCCCCAAGGCCGCCCCAGGCUAGAAGGCGGAUACCGCCGUUGCGAGCAUGACCCCCUCCUCGCUGGCGGGCUCAGCAACGACUUCGUCUCCAUCUGGAACCCAUCACCGGCGCGGCUGCCGCGACCAUAAUCACAUCCGAGAGGAGCAGCCCAUAGCGGGUCUUCCUCGUCUCCAUCUCCAAGCCACGCGAGCGCCGGAAGUGGCACAGAGCUGGUGGAGAAGGUAUCGGUGGUUGGAUUUGCCGCACGGGUGUCGGCGGCGGGAUGCGGCCUUGCCAUACUCUUAGGCAUCGGUGAAAUCCGUUCUGCAAUCUAGGAACGAGGCCAACUUCAGGAGAUGAUUGAAGCUGCACUAAAUUUAGCUACAAUGUAACAUCAAACAAUUGGUGGCCAACCUCCUACAGGAAGGAAAUUACAGUUUGGAUGAGGAUCUGUAGUCCAUAGGAUGGUCAGGUCCUGAUGGAUUCAGAAGACCAGGUCAUACCAUCAUGACUAUAUUCGAUUUGGUUCCUUAGGUACAUCAAAUGUGUCUAUCCAAGAAGAGCACAAUUUUAGAGGAGUGUUUCUUUAUGGUUCUGAUUCCCCACCCCCAUGUUAAUAUCUCUGUAUGAUUACCACAUUACAAGUCUUCUUUUAUAUCCGAAAGGGGGACUAGCAAUCUUCAUCAAGCUUAUUGGAUUGGUUGUUCAUGCCUACAUCAAUGUACUGUUCAACAUCAAGCUUAUUGGAUCAGCUGCUUAUGCCUAAAUCAACCAAACAAGUACGGAGUUAUCUUAUGUUAUUUCAAGGUAAAACCAAAGAGAUUGUUAAAUUUUUUUCCUCCUGCAUUAAAAGAACACACAGAAAACUGAAUUUCCCUAAAAAAAGGUAUAUUGAUUAUCUGGGCUUCUCCUGAAGGAUAUUUACCUACUAUUCUACCAAUCCUUUGAAGUUAUUUCUUUUACUCAGUGGUUUUGCGAGAUAUCAAAUUAUUUUUAAUUCCAGUAGUUCUUACUUAGUAUAUGUCAGCAGAUUCAUCCUUCAUAAAACGUUAUUCCCAUAUGGUUAAGGAGCAGGAAAAUGCUCAGCCAGGCUGCCUAAGAGCCUGCAGAAAUGGCUUACAAAUAACUUUUUUUAUCUUGUCAUAUUAGAUUUUUAGUGUAGUGGUCCUAGAUUGCAACCUGAGUUCAUCCUAUUCCUACUUGUUGUCAUUUUCCAACAGUAAGAAGUGGCUUCUCUUGAGAAAUGAGUAGCAUGUGCACUUUGGGUGGCUGGAUUAUAUUGUUGCAGAUAUAGUACAGUUGAUGUUGGAUGCAUUUUCCAAUCCCAUUUCCUUAAAUACUUUAUACUAGCUUCUAUUUUUGCUAUAUUGCUUUACGGAACAAUUGAUUACCUGUGAUUAGACUCUGAUUUAUGGUAUUUGCCUGUGGUUAGGCUAGGCAGAUUACACACACACAUAUAAAGUAAAAAUGGAAGGUCAAAAGAGUAAAUUAGUUGCUGCCCAUAGUACUCUGCUUUGAACCCAGACAUUACUAUAGAACUAUCGGCUAAUUAAACACAGGAAGACAUGACAUAAUAUUUGACAACACUGUUGUGAUUGUAUAUUGUUAGUUAUUCAUGCAAGGAAGAUUUUUAAAUAUAGCUUAUUAUUUGUACUUCUAUGCAAUUAAAAAAAUGUUUUUGGCAUUGUUAAGCAUUAGAUGUAUUAAAAGGAUGUAGGUUCAUCUCUCUUAGUCUUAAUUCAUACGUGAACAAUUUUCCCCAAGCGAAUACUCAAGUGAUUUCCUUCAAGCCCGGCAACGACGUUAUCAAGUUUUCUCUAUAAUUGAUUGCAGUACAUGCAAAAUAUGAUCAAAGUGAUUGAAGAUAUAUCAAUUUUCUAUGUUAGUUGUCUAUGCAAGAUAUGAGUAAAUUUUUAGGACAUCAUAAAUUGUGCUGCCGUGAAUUUAUGUAAAUUCAGUUUGUAUAUCUUAGGUUCUAGCAAUAGCUUUCCGAUUGUAUGAAUUUUGUAUAAAUUCGCCAAAGAGAUAGGCAAUGGCUAUGCGGGUGCAUGGCUCCGAUGACCUGAUGAUGAUGUCAAUAACAAAUUAUUGGAGAAAAAUAACUAAUGCUAGAAGUGCAGUCUUCACUAUGCUACAUAUAUAUUAUAUUCCUUCUGAAAUGAGAACUCUGAAAAUAAAUAUAUAUCAAGAUCAUAGUAACUAAGCGACACGAAGAAGUCAGUGGCAAUUGUCAGUGUAUCGCACAAUACCUUAUUUACUUAUUGGAGCAGGUAAAUCCUUCUAUUUUUUGGAGAAGCAAAGCUAACUACUUUGAAGCAGGUAAAUCCUUCGGUUUAUGUUGUACUUAUACAGAUACGUUGGAAUUUCAGGCUAGAUAUAUACUUUUUCCUGGUUGUUUUUAUUGAAGUUCGAGUGCUUCACAACUUACAAUAUGUUUUCUGGUUCCCUAUUCGAAGAGCUUCUAUUGUGCAUGUGGGGAAGAAGCCAUAUCACGUCUCAUAGGAAUUUUCUCGAUCACGGCAAUUAUUAGUGGAGUAUAGUAUGAUUUCAAAGAGAUGAUCACGGCAAUAAUGGCACACAGGGGAAUCGAGGGACGACACCAAAUCGUCUCCUCUCCCUUGUGGUUUAAAUACCGGAGGAAUGGGAGGAGGUGUCUUGCUCUCCCUGUUCGUUCCCGCUGCUGCCGGCGGCCAGAGCUUCCUGAUCAGAAAGCUUGUGAUGCCCACAGAGGGUGGCAAGGACUGCCUCGGUGACCUCACUGACAACCUCCUCCGGCAUCUGUUGUCCCUUCUUCAGCCCGAAGAUGCCCUGAAGACUUGUGUGCUAGACACCAGGUGGCGCGAACUAUGCAGGCGCACCACUAGCCUGCACUCCGUCAGUCUCAAGCGUUGGAUGUAGAAGUUCUCCGCCAACCUGGCGUGUGCAUGUCUCUGCUGGUCGGUCUCAAGCAUUGGUUGUAGAAGUUCUCUGCCAACCCAGCUGUACAUGCCGCAGAUUACUUCAAUCGGAAGGCGUCAUGAUGGUAUUGCUAGAGAUGUAUAAUCUGUAGAUCAUGUUGAGUUCUCCUUUACUUGAUCAUUCUUUAUUUGCUAUCCUUUCAUCCUCAAUAUUUCAGAGAUAACGCCCUAUUAUGGUAACUACUAGAGUGUGUCCUUCUUACACCCCAGUUUAAUAGGGUGUUCGCUCUUAUGGUGACACCUAACACCCUAUUAAACUGUCCAAAAGUCUUAUAUUUAGGAAUGGAGGUAGUAGAUAUAAAGAUUAAUCUUCUCCCCGCUGUUUCAUGACAGAUAUGUUGCCAUAUGUGUUAAAUCCAUGAAUAAACUAGAGUGUGCCCUUCUUUAUUAAUUCUUUUUGGAAGAGUCGGGCUAUAAUAAACAAAAUAUAUUCAGAGCCUUGAAAAGCUCUAAUAAUCAGUCAAUGGUGAUUAUUGGCUUAUCCUGAAGGUGCACUCAUUAAAAUUGGAUACUAACAUGUCUAUUUGUUAGGAUUUAGAAAGUUGGCUAAUCUUUUCUUUUGUCAGCUUUAUAGCAAGGCAGAUCUUACAUAUACAGAAUGAUCUUUAGAAUAGCGUAUGCUUUUUUGUUUAUCCAAAAUGGCUGAUGCAAUUCUAUAUUUAAUGUCUGAACUUAAAGCUGGAUACUACUAUCUGGAAGUGUACUGAGUUUGUUGUAUAGAAUGUAUUUAACCUCCUUACUAAUCAGUGUUUAGAUCUCCAUUGAUGGCCUGAGCUGAGCCGUUGGAUUCUGAUGAAGUGCAAACUAUGAACAACGUAAGUUAUAUUAAGACACUUAUUUCAUAGUUUGCACUUGACGUAUGGAUGCACACAUUAUUUUAUAUCGUCCUUUUAGCUUUACUGGUCAAAUUGUGGGAGGUUUGUGAUUAGUUGCGACAUUCAGUUUUAGAAAGAGAACUGAGUGACGAAAGCCAUUCUUUUGCAAAUUAAAACUGAAUGUGCAGGUCUCCUUAUUGUAUUGAAGCAACAACAAAGUUUAAGUUCUGAUUUCGUAGGUAAAAAAUUAAUUGCAGAUUGAAAAUUUCCUCCCAAAUACACAUCUGGUGGUUGAUGAAACUCAUCAUCACAAUACUGUGAUUUUAGAGUAGUAUGAAUUUGAAAAAAAAUACAAUGCCAAACUUGGCCUAAGCGAUGCCAUAUGAAAUUGCUUCCAUAGUUUAUAGUAAAGGCAUUAUUUUUCAGGUGGUAUAUACAACUAUACUCAACUUAAUUUCUUCUAAAAAACAUAUUUUAAAGCUACCUGAGCUCGCCACUAUCCUUACUUAUACAAGCUAAUCAACUUAAUUCCGUCUGUCUUUAUCCUUGUCAUUUACUUAGAUAGAUGUUUCUGUCCUGAAUUAUGUGGAAGGACACGAUGACUGCACCUGCAUCAGAAUGUGUUUCUAGGGAGGGUUUCUUUUAUGUUCAUUAGAAUAUGUAUGCUUACUGAUCCUAAAUCAUUCGUUCUGGUUUACUAUAGGAGAUUUUGUACCUAUUUACUUAGAUAGAUGUUUCUAGGGAGUAUUGUGCACCAAUCUGGUUGAUGUUUACAUAAUCCAUGCAGAUUUACCAAUUAGAAGAGCCAUGUAUUUAUUGUAGCUUUCUCUCUACAUCAAGUACACAUAAAUAUAAUGCCGAAGAAUGUAGUUGCUUUUAUUGUUCUGCAGAUCUUCCCCGCGAGGCGCUACCGAUCAGAUGGGCGCUGUCGUGAAGGCCGUGAAGGCGUGGCCGGCGGCAUGGGUUAGCCUGUGGGUGGUACCACCGUGCUGCUCUGGACGUGCAUUGUGGUGUUGCUCGUGGCGGCUUUCGGAUGGAGACAGAGUGCAGAACAUAUAGAAUUUGGGAGCUACUCGGGUUUGGAUCAGCAAGCCAUGUCCGUUUGGUUUGUCGAAGGAUGGCCUUUUAUCCUUUUUCUAUAAUGCCAUGAACGUCUCUGAAUUUUUACACUGCUUCCAGCCGAUGCUUAAUAUUUUUUCCAACAUAUUUGUGACUGGAGCCCACACAUACAUAGUCAUGGAUCUGAUUUUGUGUUUUGGAUCUUGCUAUUUCACUGAUUUGGAACAUGUAUAUGCAGUUCUAGGCUUCUAGCUAGAUGGAUUAAUAGAUAUGUUGGACCUAUGCAUUUUAUAUUACCAGCAUGGAUCUAUGUUUAUUAUUUGAUGCUCCUCCUUAUCCCGGGGAAGAAUUUUCUGCAAGGAGUUGUCAUUUUUGGAGAUAUGGACUUGUUGUCACUUCAUCAAUAUGCUUUCAGUGCUAUAGAGUAUGCAGUGAAAUUAGAUUAGAUUGAUGAUUAGCGAUUAACUAUAGAACUGUUGGCAGCACCAGUUUAACAUAUGUUGAUUUCUGGCCCAUCUUUUUUUGCUUUCGAGUUAAACUAUGAAUUUGAAAACAGAAAAUUAUACA